UGGGGAAUAUUGCACAAUGGGCGCAAGCCUGAUGCAGCCAUGCCGCGUGUAUGAAGAAGGCCUUCGGGUUGUAAAGUACUUUCAGUCGGGAGGAAGGUGGUAAGGUUAAUAACCUUAUCAAUUGACGUUACCGACAGAAGAAGCACCGGCUAACUCCGUGCCAGCAGCCGCGGUAAUACGGAGGGUGCAAGCGUUAAUCGGAAUUACUGGGCGUAAAGCGCACGCAGGCGGUUUGUUAAGUCAGAUGUGAAAUCCCCGGGCUCAACCUGGGAACUGCAUCUGAAACUGGCAAGCUUGAGUCUCGUAGAGGGGGGUAGAAUUCCAGGUGUAGCGGUGAAAUGCGUAGAGAUCUGGAGGAAUACCGGUGGCGAAGGCGGCCCCCUGGACGAAGACUGACGCUCAGGUGCGAAAGCGUGGGGAGCAAACAGG
Molecule: ribosomal RNA, 429 nt
Filed under: Chloroflexota bacterium
Lineage: Bacteria; Bacillati; Chloroflexota
Description: Chloroflexi bacterium partial 16S ribosomal RNA
Rfam family: Bacterial small subunit ribosomal RNA
Source: RNAcentral